GGGCCAGUGGUCUAGCGGCUAUGACGCUACCUUGACAGGGUAGAUAUCGCAGGUUCGAGUCCUGCCUGGCCCA
RNAcentral lists this transfer RNA (73 nucleotides) under Candidatus Aenigmatarchaeota archaeon. RNAcentral describes it as "tRNA-Val". It matches the Rfam family "tRNA". Rfam says of the family: Transfer RNA (tRNA) molecules are approximately 80 nucleotides in length. RNAcentral also lists the same sequence under 2 other names. The record is from RNAcentral. Lineage: Archaea; Nanobdellati; Candidatus Aenigmatarchaeota.